UAGUGGUGGGGAUAACGUUCGGAAACGGACGCUAAUACCGCAUACGUCCUACGGGAGAAAGCGGGGGAUCUUCGGACCUCGCGCCAUUAGAUGAGCCUAGGUCGGAUUAGCUAGUUGGUGAGGUAAUGGCUCACCAAGGCGACGAUCCGUAACUGGUCUGAGAGGAUGAUCAGUCACACUGGAACUGAGACACGGUCCAGACUCCUACGGGAGGCAGCAGUGGGGAAUAUUGGACAAUGGGCGAAAGCCUGAUCCAGCCAUGCCGCGUGUGUGAAGAAGGUCUUCGGAUUGUAAAGCACUUUAAGUUGGGAGGAAGGGUAGUAACCUAAUACGUUGCUACUUUGACAUUACCGACAGAAUAAGCACCGGCUAACUUCGUG
This 380-nucleotide ribosomal RNA is filed under the name uncultured bacterium. Its description in RNAcentral is "bacterial SSU rRNA". It matches the Rfam family "Bacterial small subunit ribosomal RNA", at positions 131 to 507 of the family's 1533-position model. The record is from RNAcentral.